Pseudophryne corroboree (corroboree frog) is the source of this 950-nucleotide long non-coding RNA. RefSeq lists it as uncharacterized. The record is from RefSeq and is a predicted model, not a curated record. Lineage: Eukaryota; Metazoa; Chordata; Amphibia; Anura; Myobatrachidae. The transcript is spliced from 5 exons.
UCUGCAGGGUCGCACAUUAAUUUAUUGGAGAAAUGGAGUAGGAAGAAGGAAGAUGGUAACUGGGCCUUGGUGAACACCUUCCUUGAUAAGGAUGAUGGGGCUUAUGAACUAAUCCAUUGCAGUGGAGAGAAGAGGGAAGCAAUGACCUGUAGUUGAAGAAGCAGAGUAGCUGGAUUUAGGUACCUUGGGGAGGGGUUGCCCAGCAACAGUGACAUACAGCAUGGUGAUUGGCUCCCUGCCCGGCGUUUCCGACGGAGGUCAGAGCCCUGUGAGCAGUGUACAUCGCGGCGGGAAGCGUCAUUGAAGACGUCGUUGGUUAGGGGUCGCCUAGUAACGGGAGCUUCAUUCCCGCGAUUGGUUCCCCGCUCGACGCAACAAUUGUACGUCAGUACCCUGCAACUGGGACACCUCGCAGCUGGAUGUGACCUCACCAUCGGCGCCUGGACAGUCAUGGCACCGGACACUGGGUGACGACGUCAUUGGUGGGCGUCUUCACCCCAGAGUCGGCAGCAGUGGCGUUUGCACGUGGUGUUUAGAUGCUUUAUAAGAGUUUAAGUAAAAAUGCAGAAUUGAAUACAAUCAUCCGUGACAGGUUACAGAAUUCCUAAUUAUCACAAGUGAAGCUGCCGCCCAGAAAUGAAGAGAAACACCCACUGGAGUCAUCACAAAGUCCCCUGCAAUGGUGUACGCAUACACAGCGCUGACGCAAUAACAAGGAACAUCGACUCCUAUGGGUGACCUACAGCUGCGACAGUAGCGACGGUGGCUCCAUGUUUCUCUACAUACAUGAUCGCAGCUAAAUACACGCCUGGCCAUGACAUGCCUGUGUUUUUUGCUGCCACUCCCAUGUUAAGUCCCCCAAACAGUCCCUUCCUAUCAAUAACUCUGCAUAUAAAAUGUCAGUGCAAGUGUGAUUGCAAAGUCCUUGGCAUGCAUGCAGGGGGUAAUUC